RNAcentral lists this ribosomal RNA (410 nucleotides) under uncultured bacterium. Its description in RNAcentral is "bacterial SSU rRNA". It matches the Rfam family "Bacterial small subunit ribosomal RNA", at positions 40 to 495 of the family's 1533-position model. The record is from RNAcentral.
CGGCACGCCUUAUACAUGCAAGUCGAACGAAGUAGCAAUACUUAGUGGCAGACGGGUGAGUAACAUGUAGGUAUCUUCCCUUUGGUGAGGAAUAACACGAGGAAACUUGUGCUAAUACCUCAUAAGUCUUUACGGAGAAAGCUUUAUGCGCCGAAGGAUGAGCCUGCACUUGAUUAGUUUGUUGGUGGGGUAAUGGCCUACCAAGACUUUGAUCUAUAGCUGAUCUGAGAGGAUGAUCAGCCACAUUGGGACUGAGACACGGCCCAAACUCCUACGGGAGGCAGCAGUAGGGAAUAUUGCACAAUGGAGGAAACUCUGAUGCAGCGAUGCCGCGUGAGUGAAGAAGGCCUUUGGGUUGUAAAGCUCUUUCGUCGGGGAAGAAAAUGACUGUACCCGAAUAAGAAGGUCCG